Molecule: ribosomal RNA, 253 nt
Filed under: uncultured bacterium
Lineage: Bacteria
Description: partial 16S ribosomal RNA
Rfam family: Bacterial small subunit ribosomal RNA
Source: RNAcentral
UACAGAGGUGGCAAGCGUUGUUCGGAUUUACUGGGCGUAAAGGGUCCGUAGGCGGUUUGGAAAGUUGAAUGUGAAAUCCCGCAGCUUAACUGCGGAACUGCAUUCAAAACUUCCAGACUAGAGUAUGAGAGGGGUUAAGGGAAUUCCCGGUGUAAGGGUGAAAUCUGCAGAGAUCGGGAGGAACACCAGUCGCGAAGGCGCUUAACUGGCUCAUUACUGACGCUCAGGGACGAAAGCUAGGGUAGCAAACGGG